GUCGCUGCCGUCACGCCGCGCUUCUUCUCGCUGCCAGGAGGGCGCUCCGCGCCGCUCCGCCCGUGCGCCCCGUCAGGAACUACAGCACACUGGGACCCUCGCGGCCGCCACGGCGCACCCGUCUGCUGCAGCAGCAGCAGCAGCAGUACGUGGAGAUCGACGAGGCGGUGUCCAAGUGUGCGGAGGGCGUGGAGGAGGAGGAGGAGGCCGUGGCGACGUCGGCGUCGGCCGGCGUGAGCAGCGCGCUGCAGGCGGGAGACGUGGUGGAGCGCAUGAAGGGCCGCCCGCUGCCGCCGACCCCCAGGCCGACGCGCAAGCAGCGCGACAACCAGGAGGUGGAGGACAGCACAGCAUUGCCAGAAUCUAUAUCAGAAGCAGCACGGCGGGAGGCUGAAGAGGAGGAGCCUCUGGUUGGCACACUGCGUGAUGACGCCAUGGAGGAGGAAGCCGAGGCUGCUGAGGAAGAGCCAUCUGCAGCUGAAGAGGCGUCUGUGGCCACACAGACAGACCCCCUGCCUGAUGAUGUGUGUGUUGAGCCUGCCUCUGAUGAGCCACCACCUACAUUUGCUGAUGCAAGCACUGAGACAGAACUAAAGACAGCCCUCACCAUUCAAUCCCAGGACGAAGUACAAGAGGAAGUUACAGAAUCAAGAGUGGAGAGGGAACUCCUUUCAGAAGAAAGUGCAUGGCUGAAGGCAGAACAAGAGGCUUUGAAAAAGGCAGCAGAGGCCAAACCAGUGAUGGAAGAAGCAAGAAUUACAACAUCAGUUGACCAGUCACGUGAGCCACCAACACCGCAACCACAGCCACAGCCACCACCAGAGCCAAUCAUCAUUGAGAAACCUGUGCCCUUCUAUGUCAUGC
Molecule: long non-coding RNA, 864 nt
Filed under: Locusta migratoria (migratory locust)
Lineage: Eukaryota; Metazoa; Arthropoda; Insecta; Orthoptera; Acrididae
Description: partial Lnc03084
Source: RNAcentral